This 333-nucleotide ribosomal RNA is filed under the name uncultured eukaryote. RNAcentral's name for it is "partial 18S ribosomal RNA". It matches the Rfam family "Eukaryotic small subunit ribosomal RNA", at positions 1470 to 1796 of the family's 1831-position model. The record is from RNAcentral.
CCCUUAGAUGUCCUGGGCUGCACGCGCGCUACACUGAUGUGUCCAGUAAGCACCUAACCUCUUCCGAAAGGAACGGGUAACCUUUGCAAAGCACAUCGUGAUGGGGAUAGAUUAUUGCAAUUAUUAGUCUUGAACGAGGAAUUCCUAGUAAGCACAAGUCAUCAGCUUGCGUUGAUUACGUCCCUGCCCUUUGUACACACCGCCCGUCGCUACUACCGAUUGAAUGGUUUAGUGAGAUCCUUGGAUCGGCCCUGUCGCGGCUGGCAACGGCCGCGUCGGCGCGUCGAGAAGACGAUCAAACUUGAUCAUUUAGAGGAAGUAAAAGUCGUAACA